UGGUUCAACAGAGAGGCAGGGUGGUGAGCUCUUAACCAGUAGAACUGCCAAAAAUUUCUUAUUUUUAGGCUACACCUUCCUUGAAAAUUUAAUCUGACUAUUGUAUGUCAUGAACUGCAUUCCUUCGUUUUCCAUUUUUAGCCCAUUGUCUUUUCAAUGCAAUACAUUCUGUUGAUCAUAUUUAAAUGAGUUUGAUUAUUAUAUUGCUAAAUCAUAUCAUUCCCUUGGUAAUUAUUGCUUAUGGUGCUAUAGGCUCUGAAUUUUCUGAAGACA
This 273-nucleotide unclassified non-coding RNA is filed under the name Hevea brasiliensis (rubber tree). The record is from RNAcentral. Lineage: Eukaryota; Viridiplantae; Streptophyta; Magnoliopsida; Malpighiales; Euphorbiaceae.